GCCGCUGCGGAGCGUGGCGGACGGCUGAGUAACACGUGGCUAACCUACCCUCGGGAGGGGGAUAACACCGGGAAACUGGUGCUAAUCCCCCAUAGGGGAGGACGCCUGGAAGGGUCCCUCCCCGAAAGGGUGCGGCGGGGGUUAUCGCCGCCGUGCCGCCCGAGGAUGGGGCUGCGGCCCAUCAGGUAGUUGGCGGGGUAACGGCCCGCCAAGCCGAUAACGGGUAGGGGCCGUGAGAGCGGGAGCCCCCAGAUGGGCACUGAGACAAGGGCCCAGGCCCUACGGGGUGCACCAGGCGCGAAACCUCCGCAAUGCGGGCAACCGUGACGGGGUCACCCCGAGUGCCCCCUAAUUAGGGGGCUUUUCCCCGCUGUAAGAAGGCGGGGGAAUAAGCGGGGGGCAAGUCUGGUGUCAGCCGCCGCGGUAAUACCAGCCCCGCGAGUGGUCGGGACGAUUAUUGGGCCUAAAGCGCCCGUAGCCGGCCUGGCAAGUCCCCUCCUAAAUCCCCGGGCUCAACCCGGGGACUGGAGGGGAAACUGCCAGGCUAGGGGGCGGGAGAGGCCGAGGGUACUCCCGGGGUAGGGGCGAAAUCCUAUAAUCCCGGGAGGACCACCAGUGGCGAAGGCGCUCGGCUGGAACGCGCCCGACGGUGAGGGGCGAAAGCCGGGGGAGCGAACCGGAUUAGAUACCCGGGUAGUCCCGGCCGUAAACGAUGCGGGCUAGGUGUUGGGCGGGCUUAGAGCCCGCCCAGUUGCCGCAGGGAAGCCGUUAAGCCCGCCGCCUGGGGAGUACGGCCGCAAGGCUGAAACUUAAAGGAAUUGGCGGGGGAGCACCACAAGGGGUGGAGCCUGCGGUUUAAUUGGAGUCAACGCCGGGAACCUCACCGGGGGCGACAGCAGGAUGACGGCCAGGCUAACGGCCUUGCCCGACGCGCUGAGAGGAGGUGCAUGGCCGUCGCCAGCUCGUGCCGUGAGGUGUCCGGUUAAGUCCGGCAACGAGCGAGACCCCCGCCCCUAGUUGCUACCCGGAGCUCCGGCUCCGGGGCACACUAGGGGGACUGCCGCCGUAUAAGGCGGAGGAAGGAGGGGGCCACGGCAGGUCAGCAUGCCCCGAAUCCCCCGGGCUACACGCGGGCUACAAUGGCGGGGACAGCGGGAUCCGACCCCGUAAGGGGGAGGCAAUCCCUCAAACCCCGCCGCAGUUGGGAUCGAGGGCUGCAACUCGCCCUCGUGAACGUGGAAUCCCUAG
This 1248-nucleotide ribosomal RNA is filed under the name uncultured archaeon. Its description in RNAcentral is "bacterial SSU rRNA". It matches the Rfam family "Archaeal small subunit ribosomal RNA", at positions 64 to 1294 of the family's 1478-position model. The record is from RNAcentral.